ACCGGUCUUUAUAAGCGAAGCCGGUAUUGUGUGGAUGGGCAGUGCCGCGCUUACAUCCAACAGGGAAUAUUGUGAUAUUUGUGAUUAAUUUAGUGAUUAAUAAAAAUAAAUAUUAGUUAAAAUGAAGGCCUUAGUGACGUGUUUAGUACUGGGUGUGAUGGUGCAGGCGUCCCUCGGGAUGGACCUCAACAGGAGAAGGCGCCAGUCAGACACUGACCCGGAUGACUUGGAUGACCGGUACGGAAGUCUAUUCCCCGGUCAGUUUCCCGGACAGAAUCAGUUCCCCGGUCAAAAUCAAUUCCCCGGUCAGAAUCAAUUCCCAGGCCAGAACCAGUUUCCGGGACAGAAUCAGUUUCCUGGACAGAAUCAGUUUCCCGGACAGAAUCAGUUCCCAGGACAAAAUCAGUUCCCAGGACAAAAUCAGUUCCCUGGACAAAAUCAGUUCCCAGGACAAAAUCAAUUCCCUGGCCAGAACCAGUUUCCCGGACAGAAUCAAUUCCCAGGACAGAACCAGUUUCCGGGGCAAAACCAGUUCCCUGGACAGAACCAAUUUCCAGGACAGAACCAGCAGUUCCCAGGACAAAAUCAGUUCCCUGGACAAAACCAGCCCGGACAGAAUCAAAACCCUGGACAAAAUGGACAACCGACCACGGCGGCACCCACUGCAGGGCAGUUUCCGGGUUUAGACCAGUCUCCAAAUCAACAGCCGGGAUCAAACGCAGGACAAAAUAAACCGAAAUCGCAACAAGAAGACAAACCAAGUGAACAAAAGCCUCAGGGAAGAGAUCAGACUCAGGUUAACACCCCCGACAAGCGGCCAAACUCUACACCGAAUGAAGGAGAUCAAGGAUCAGAUUUCAACCAGACUCAAUAUCCAGGGCCUAACAGUCAAGGACCAUACCCUAACGGUGGGCAAUACCCAGGGCAAUAUCCACAACAAGGCGGUCCAGGAGGUUUAGGCCAAUAUCCACAGCAAGGAGUUCCAGGGCCAUAUCCAGGACAAUAUCCUGGACAAGGACAAUAUCCAGGUUCGAGGCCAGGAUAUCCCAAUCAGGGCCAGUUUCCUAACCAAGGCCAAUAUCCGAAUCAGGGACAGUUUCCGAACCAGGGACAAUAUCCGCAAGGCCAAUAUCCCCUAGGUCAAUAUCCCCAGGAAUAUCCAGGACAAGGAUAUUAUCCAGAACGAGAGCCGUUCCCCGGUGGCCCGGGGCAGUACCGCCCGGAUCAGUAUCCUCGACCCGGCAGUCAAGGACAAUACCCCAAUCAGUACCCAGGAAGCCAGUACCCAGGUAGCCAGUACCCAGGUAGCCAGUACCCAGGUAGUCAGUAUCCAGGGAACCAGGGACCGUACCCGAACCGACCACCAUUUGGGCAAAAUCAAUACCCUGGUCAGGGGCAGUUCAUAGGACAAGGCCAAUAUCCUACUCAAGGCCCAUAUCCAUCUCAAGGCCAAUAUCCAAUUCAAGGUCAGUAUCCAGGAUCACCUUCCUACCCAAGCCAGGGACCGUAUCCCAAUCGUCCACCUUUUGGGCAAAAUCAGUACCCUCAAGGGCAGUUUGGGCAGAACCAGUAUCCUGGGCAAGGUCCAUUUUUUGGAAGACAUUUGGCUGGCCCGAAUCCUUCUGAUUCUCAAAAGACACCGCCAAAAACCAACGAAAACGAACAAGAUACAGCCGCCCCUAUGAACCAGGGGACCAAUCAGGAUGAACAAACAAUGAAGAAUGUAAGAGUAAAUGAAAUAACACCGUCGUCGUCAGACCAAAAUCAAUCUAAUCAAAAUGGACAAGAUAUCACUUCUGAACCAUCUGUAAGGAGCCACAACAAUGAGUCCUCGGGAGGCGCAGUGCAUCCAGCAGUGCCCCGUCACGUCUGAGUUCAACCCCGUGUGUGGUUCCGACGGGCAGGAGUACAGCAACCCCGGCCGGCUCGACUGCGCAAGGGGCUGUGGGAGAGGAGUGACGCUGGCGCGGUCCGGCCCCUGCCCCCGCAUCCCCGUCACCGACGCCCCCGCCGGGUAGAACCACCUUCUACAUCCUCACACUAUUUGUAAACUAGUCUCGAUAUAUUAUUUAGGAUCACUUUCUUUCAG
Molecule: RNA transcript, 2089 nt
Organism: Plutella xylostella (diamondback moth)
Lineage: Eukaryota; Metazoa; Arthropoda; Insecta; Lepidoptera; Plutellidae
Source: RefSeq, a predicted model, not a curated record